Molecule: ribosomal RNA, 253 nt
Filed under: uncultured bacterium
Lineage: Bacteria
Description: partial 16S ribosomal RNA
Rfam family: Bacterial small subunit ribosomal RNA
Source: RNAcentral
UACGUAGGGUGCGAGCGUUAAUCGGAAUUACUGGGCGUAAAGCGUGCGCAGGCGGUUUUGUAAGCCAGAUGUGAAAGCCCCGGGCUCAACCUGGGAAUGGCAUUUGGGACUGCAAGGCUUGAGUGCGGCAGAGGAGACUGGAAUUCCUGGUGUAGCAGUGAAAUGCGUAGAUAUCAGGAGGAACACCGGUGGCGAAGGCGGGUCUCUGGGCCGAUACUGACGCUGAGGAGCGAAAGCGUGGGGAGCGAACAGG